AAAGAAUAUGAAGAAGAAGAAGAACGAAGAGAAUGAAGAAGAAGAAAGAAGAUAAGAAUUAAUUAUUCUUCUCGAGUGGGAGAUAAGGCUGACCCAAUUUGAUGACACGCCCACUUUCUUCGACACGUGCAUCCACAAGGCAGGUGUACAUCAGGCAAUUGGGAAUCUUCCUUGAUCUUGCACUCCUGGCAGAUUUUCAAAGACAAUGUUGGUGCAUCUUACCCUACCAUGAGAUUGUAGCCACAAGUUGGUGUGUUUCAUGCAGUAACCAGCCAUUUUGUUUGCGUCAGUAUUUCAUUGCUUACCAAGCUCUCCCCUUUUGAUGGAUUUGUAAUGCUCCCAUGUGUAGUUACCAAUGUCAAAAACCAGCAGAUGCCAAUGUUCACCUAGAGGCCUUUUUGAUUUCGCAUUACCACUGUGUGGGUCUGUAUUCAUAGGAAUGAGCAUCUUUUCAGUUCUGUCAUGCAUGUCUCUUAUAAACUGAUCAACUUCUUCCGUUC
Papaver somniferum (opium poppy) is the source of this 500-nucleotide long non-coding RNA. RefSeq lists it as uncharacterized. The transcript is spliced from 2 exons. NCBI's taxonomy places the organism in Eukaryota, Viridiplantae, Streptophyta, Magnoliopsida, Ranunculales, Papaveraceae. The record is from RefSeq and is a predicted model, not a curated record.